GGGGAAUAUUGGUCCAAUGGACGAGAGUCUGACCCAGCCAAGUAGCGUGAAGGAUGACUGCCCUAUGGGUUGUAAACUUCUUUUAUACGGGAAUAAAGUGAGGCACGUGUGCCUUUUUGUAUGUACCGUAUGAAUAAGGAUCGGCUAACUCC
Molecule: ribosomal RNA, 152 nt
Filed under: uncultured bacterium
Lineage: Bacteria
Description: partial 16S ribosomal RNA
Rfam family: Bacterial small subunit ribosomal RNA
Source: RNAcentral